UCAAUUCAAACAACUGAAAGUCACUUGGCCCAAGAAAAUGGAGAAGCGAUGAUUUAUUAUGAAGAGUUUAAUCCAACAUCAGAAAGCAUAGCAGAAACACUGCCAGAAGGACCACCAGGAGAAAGUGACAUCAAAUACUAUUUUGAUGAGCUGAAAGAAAACCUGAAGACAGAGAACACCAAUUUUCUGAUGACUGUCUGUGCAGCGAUUGCCAUCAUCACUAUCGCGUUCACUGGCAUAGCUCUGGGCAUUUUUCUGCUUUAUAGACGAUAUAGAUCAAAGUCUGCUUUUUACAAGGGUUCAAAUGACAUCGAUAUUGAAGCUGGGCACCCUGAAACACCUGAACCUGCAGGUGAAUAGUCUGGCGGGAGAGAUGUGCCAGUCACAGAAGUGCGCGGGAAUACUUUCACCUUUCCUGAGCCCUUCUGACACCUUGGGAAUCUUUAGGCUGGAAUUUCACUACUCUGUGUUUCUCCCUGCCACUCUGCUUGGGCCUCCUGCAGUCAUCUAGCCUCCUGCUCUCCAUCGCUGGGUGAUCCCAGCUGCUGUUUGUGGAGGCUACUGCACAUUAUACAUCCCUGUGCAACAUUGAUCCUCUCCUGGACCUACUGGGAGAUACAAAGAGAUAUCCUACACUUCUCUGCUGUUACCUCUGCAAUCUUGAGUUCCAGUUCCAGACAACUCUCUGGACUGUCACGUGUGCCAUCAUACAGCAACAUCACCAGGAAUCCAUUCUUCCUAAUGUGGUGAACUGAGAAUGCGGAGUCUACAGCAGAACAUCAUUUGUGAAAGGGACUAUAAACAGACUUUCUAACAACCAUUUGAAAAGGACAAGGUGUAAGAUAUGAGGUCUUCCUUUGUCUCAGCCUUUCACAAAAACAAAAUAAAUAACAAUGG
Pseudophryne corroboree (corroboree frog) is the source of this 897-nucleotide long non-coding RNA. RefSeq lists it as uncharacterized. The transcript is spliced from 2 exons. The record is from RefSeq and is a predicted model, not a curated record. NCBI's taxonomy places the organism in Eukaryota, Metazoa, Chordata, Amphibia, Anura, Myobatrachidae.